GAUGAACGCUGGCGGCGUGCCUAAUACAUGCAAGUCGAGCGAACAGACGAGGAGCUUGCUCCUCUGACGUUAGCGGCGGACGGGUGAGUAACACGUGGAUAACCUACCUAUAAGACUGGGAUAACUUCGGGAAACCGGAGCUAAUACCGGAUAAUAUAUUGAACCGCAUGGUUCAAUAGUGAAAGGCGGUUUUGCUGUCACUUAUAGGUGGAUCCGCGCCGCAUUAGCUAGUUGGUAAGGUAACGGCUUACUAAGGCAACGAUGCGUAGCCGACCUGAGAGGGUGAUCGGCCACACUGGAACUGAGACACGGUCCAGACUCCUACGGGAGGCAGCAGUAGGGAAUCUUACGCAAUGGGCGAAAGCCUGACGGAGCAACGCCGCGUGAGUGAUGAAGGUCUUCGGAUCGUAAAACUCUGUUAUUAGGGAAGAACAAAUGUGUAAGUAACUAUGCACGUCUUGACGGUACCUAAUCAGAAAGCCACGGCUAACUACGUG
Molecule: ribosomal RNA, 497 nt
Filed under: uncultured bacterium
Lineage: Bacteria
Description: partial 16S ribosomal RNA
Rfam family: Bacterial small subunit ribosomal RNA
Source: RNAcentral